RNAcentral lists this ribosomal RNA (685 nucleotides) under uncultured delta proteobacterium. RNAcentral describes it as "bacterial SSU rRNA". It matches the Rfam family "Bacterial small subunit ribosomal RNA", at positions 1 to 666 of the family's 1533-position model. Lineage: Bacteria; Deltaproteobacteria. The record is from RNAcentral.
UAGAGUUUGAUCCUGGCUCAGAACGAACGCUGGCGGCGUGCUUAACACAUGCAAGUCUAACGAGAAAGUUUCCUUCGGGGAAUGAGUAAAGUGGCGCACGGGUGAGUAACACGUGGGUAACCUACCCUUCAGCUUGGGAUAACACUUCGAAAGGGGUGCUAAUACUGGAUACGUUCAACUUGGCUUCGGCUGGAUUGGAGAAAGAUGGCCUCUACUUGUAAGCUGUCACUGAUGGAUGGGCCCGCGGACCAUUAGCUUGUUGGUAGGGUAACGGCCUACCAAGGCAACGAUGGUUAGCUGGUCUGAGAGGAUGAUCAGCCACACUGGUACUGGAACACGGACCAGACUCCUACGGGAGGCAGCAGUGGGGAAUAUUGCGCAAUGGGGGAAACCCUGACGCAGCAACGCCGCGUGAGUGAUGAAGGCCUUCGGGUCGUAAAGCUCUGUCAGAGGGGAAGAAGGUGAUGGGAUUAAUACCCCCAUUUACUUGACGGUACCCUCAAAGGAAGCACCGGCUAACUCCGUGCCAGCAGCCGCGGUAAUACGGAGGGUGCAAGCGUUGUUCGGAAUUACUGGGCGUAAAGGGCGCGUAGGCGGCCGUUUAAGUCAGAUGUGAAAGCCCACGGCUUAACCGUGGAACUGCAUUUGAAACUGGAUGGCUUGAGUAUGGGAGAGGGAAGUGGAA